CGGAUUGCUUCUUUUGGAAAGGAGGAAACCCAGGAGCCACAACUGAAGCGCUGCUUUGCUGCUGGGAUAACUCAGCCGUACGCUGUGCAUCGCCCCAGUUACCCUAAGGAUCACGUAGAAAGCAAAGCGGGUGAAGAGAAACAAACAUGCCAAGUGGUUAUCCCAAAGUCACACGGGAAAUCCAGCAGAGCCAGGCAGAACCCAG
Molecule: long non-coding RNA, 205 nt
Filed under: Gallus gallus (chicken)
Lineage: Eukaryota; Metazoa; Chordata; Aves; Galliformes; Phasianidae
Source: RNAcentral